AGAGUUUGAUUAUGGCUCAGGAUGAACGCUAGCGACAGGCUUAACACAUGCAAGUCGAGGGGCAGCAAUAAAAGUAGCAAUACUUGGUGGCGACCGGCGCACGGGUGAGUAACGCGUAUGCAACCUACCUAUCAGAGGGGAAUAACCCGGCGAAAGUCGGACUAAUACCGCAUAAAACAGGGGCACCGCAUGGUGAUAUUUGUUAAAGAAAUUCGCUGAUAGAUGGGCAUGCGUUCCAUUAGGUAGUUGGUGAGGUAACGGCUCACCAAGCCGACGAUGGAUAGGGGAACUGAGAGGUUGGUCCCCCACACUGGUACUGAGACACGGACCAGACUCCUACGGGAGGCAGCAGUGAGGAAUAUUGGUCAAUGGGCGAGAGCCUGAACCAGCCAAGUCGCGUGAAGGAAGAAGGAUCUAUGGUUCGUAAACUUCUUUUGCAGGGGAAUAAAGUGCAGGACGUGUCCUGUUUUGUAUGUACCCUGAGAAUAAGGAUCGGCUAACUCCGUGCCAGCAGCAGC
RNAcentral lists this ribosomal RNA (518 nucleotides) under uncultured bacterium. Its description in RNAcentral is "bacterial SSU rRNA". It matches the Rfam family "Bacterial small subunit ribosomal RNA", at positions 8 to 518 of the family's 1533-position model. The record is from RNAcentral.